Molecule: ribosomal RNA, 253 nt
Filed under: uncultured bacterium
Lineage: Bacteria
Description: partial 16S ribosomal RNA
Rfam family: Bacterial small subunit ribosomal RNA
Source: RNAcentral
UACGAAGGGAGCUAGCGUUGUUCGGAAUCACUGGGCGUAAAGCGCACGUAGGCGGAUGUGUCAGUCAGGGGUGAAAUCCCGGAGCUCAACUUCGGAACUGCCUUUGAUACAGCACGUCUUGAGUCCGAUAGAGGUGGGUGGAAUUCCCAGUGUAGCGGUGAAAUGCGUAGAUAUUGGGAGGAACACCGGUGGCGAAGGCGGCUACCUGGACCGGUUCUGACGCUGAUGCGCGAAAGCGUGGGUAGCAAACAGG